AUCUAGACUACUUACCACCUCAAUGCGAUACUAAUCACUACUUGGUGCUGGAAUCACUUGGACAGUUACGAAUUUAAGGGAUUCGGCUAGCUGCUUGUGAUUUCUCUUCUUAUAUGUUGGGCCCUAUUCAAACAGAUUCAAAACAACAAAAAUAUAUAAGAGCAGGAAGUAAAUAAAUAGCAGCUCUAAAGUUGGACUCAAAU
RNAcentral lists this long non-coding RNA (203 nucleotides) under Carica papaya (papaya). RNAcentral describes it as "long non-coding RNA (CPAP_LNC004355)". Lineage: Eukaryota; Viridiplantae; Streptophyta; Magnoliopsida; Brassicales; Caricaceae. The record is from RNAcentral.